This 254-nucleotide ribosomal RNA is filed under the name uncultured bacterium. RNAcentral's name for it is "partial 16S ribosomal RNA". It matches the Rfam family "Bacterial small subunit ribosomal RNA", at positions 524 to 776 of the family's 1533-position model. The record is from RNAcentral.
GACGUAGGGGGCAAGCGUUGUCCGGAUUUAUUGGGCGUAAAGAGCUCGUAGGUGGUUCGGUAAGUCGGAUGUGAAAUCUCCAGGCUCAACCUGGAGGGGUCAUUCGAUACUGCCGUGACUAGAGUUCGGUAGGGGAGUGUGGAAUUCCUGGUGGAGCGGUGAAAUGCGCAGAUAUCAGGAGGAACACCCGUAGCGAAGGCGGCACUCUGGGCCGAUACUGACACUGAGGAGCGAAAGCGUGGGGAGCGAACAGG